UACAGAGGUCUCAAGCGUUGUUCGGAAUCACUGGGCGUAAAGGGUGUGUAGGCGGUGUGUUAAGUCAGAUGUGAAAGCCCUGGGCUCAACCUAGGAAGUGCACUCGAAACUGCUUCGCUUGAGUGCCGGAGAGGAAAGCGGAAUUCUCGGUGUAGAGGUGAAAUUCGUAGAUAUCGAGAGGAACAUCGGUGGCGAAGGCGGCUUUCUGGACGGUAACUGACGCUGAGACGCGAAAGCGUGGGGAGCAAACAGG
This 253-nucleotide ribosomal RNA is filed under the name uncultured bacterium. RNAcentral describes it as "partial 16S ribosomal RNA". It matches the Rfam family "Bacterial small subunit ribosomal RNA", at positions 524 to 776 of the family's 1533-position model. The record is from RNAcentral.